AAUAGAUACCCCGGUAGUCCACGCCGUAAACGAUGGAUACUAGCUGUUCGUCCGCCUCGGCGGAUGAGUGGCUAAGCGAAAGUGAUGAGUAUCCCACCUGGGGAGUACGAACGCAAGUUUGAAACUCAAAGGAAUUGACGGGGGCCCGCACAAGCGGUGGAGCAUGUGGUUUAAUUCGAUGAUACGCGAGGAACCUUACCAAGGCUUGAAUGUAGAUUGACAGGACUGGAAACAGUUUUUUCUUCGGACAAUUUACAAGGUGCUGCAUGGUUGUCGUCAGCUCGUGCCGUGAGGUGUCAGGUUAAGUCCUAUAACGAGCGCAACCCCUGUUGUUAGUUGCCAGCGAGUGAUGUCGGGAACUCUAACAAGACUGCCAGUGUAAACUGUGAGGAAGGUGGGGAUGACGUCAAAUCAUCACGGCCCUUACGCCUUGGGCUACACACGUGCUACAAUGGCCGGUACAGAGAGCAGCCACUGCGCGAGCAGGAGCGAAUCUAUAAAACCGGUCACAGUUCGGA
This 518-nucleotide ribosomal RNA is filed under the name uncultured bacterium. Its description in RNAcentral is "bacterial SSU rRNA". It matches the Rfam family "Bacterial small subunit ribosomal RNA", at positions 777 to 1297 of the family's 1533-position model. The record is from RNAcentral.